GCCCCGGUGGCUCAUCGGUCUGGGCGCGCGUGCCGUGGCCGCGGCGGCCUGGGUUCGAUUCCCGCUCGGGUCG
Molecule: non-coding RNA, 73 nt
Organism: Gymnothorax javanicus (giant moray)
Lineage: Eukaryota; Metazoa; Chordata; Actinopteri; Anguilliformes; Muraenidae
Source: the annotation of a GenBank genome assembly